This 253-nucleotide ribosomal RNA is filed under the name uncultured bacterium. Its description in RNAcentral is "partial 16S ribosomal RNA". It matches the Rfam family "Bacterial small subunit ribosomal RNA", at positions 524 to 776 of the family's 1533-position model. The record is from RNAcentral.
UACGUAGGGUGCAAGCGUUGUCCGGAAUUACUGGGCGUAAAGAGCUCGUAGGCGGUCUGUCGCGUCUGCUGUGAAAACUCGGGGCUUAACCCCGGGCCUGCAGUGGGUACGGGCAGACUAGAGUGCGGUAGGGGAGACUGGAAUUCCUGGUGUAGCGGUGAAAUGCGCAGAUAUCAGGAGGAACACCGGUGGCGAAGGCGGGUCUCUGGGCCGUAACUGACGCUGAGGAGCGAAAGCGUGGGGAGCGAACAGG